RNAcentral lists this ribosomal RNA (636 nucleotides) under uncultured bacterium. RNAcentral describes it as "bacterial SSU rRNA". It matches the Rfam family "Bacterial small subunit ribosomal RNA", at positions 202 to 842 of the family's 1533-position model. The record is from RNAcentral.
UAAAGAAUUUCGGUUAUCGAUGGGGAUGCGUUCCAUUAGUUAGUUGGCGGGGUAACGGCCCACCAAGACGACGAUGGAUAGGGGUUCUGAGAGGAAGGUCCCCCACAUUGGAACUGAGACACGGUCCAAACUCCUACGGGAGGCAGCAGUGAGGAAUAUUGGUCAAUGGACGAGAGUCUGAACCAGCCAAGUAGCGUGAAGGAUGACUGCCCUAUGGGUUGUAAACUUCUUUUAUAUGGGAAUAAAACAGGGUAUGCAUACCCUCUCGUAUGUACCAUAUGAAUAAGGAUCGGCUAACUCCGUGCCAGCAGCCGCGGUAAUACGGAGGAUCCGAGCGUUAUCCGGAUUUAUUGGGUUUAAAGGGAGCGUAGGUGGAUUGUUAAGUCAGUUGUGAAAGUUUGCGGCUCAACCGUAAAAUUGCAGUUGAAACUGGCAGUCUUGAGUACAGUAGAGGUGGGCGGAAUUCGUGGUGUAGCGGUGAAAUGCUUAGAUAUCACGAAGAACUCCGAUUGCGAAGGCAGCUCACUGGACUGCAACUGACACUGAUGCUCGAAAGUGUGGGUAUCAAACAGGAUUAGAUACCCUGGUAGUCCACACAGUAAACGAUGAAUACUCGCUGUUUGCGAUAUACAGUAA